This 274-nucleotide ribosomal RNA is filed under the name uncultured bacterium. Its description in RNAcentral is "partial 16S ribosomal RNA". It matches the Rfam family "Bacterial small subunit ribosomal RNA", at positions 523 to 796 of the family's 1533-position model. The record is from RNAcentral.
AUACGGAGGGUGCAAGCGUUAAUCGGAAUUACUGGGCGUAAAGCGCUCGUAGGCGGUUUGUUAAGUCGGAUGUGAAAGCCCCGGGCUCAACCUGGGAACUGCAUUCGAUACUGGCAAGCUAGAGUAUAGUAGAGGCAAGUGGAAUUCCGGGUGUAGCGGUGAAAUGCGUAGAUAUCCGGAGGAACAUCAGUGGCGAAGGCGACUUGCUGGACUAAUACUGACGCUGAGGAGCGAAAGCGUGGGGAGCAAACAGGAUUAGAAACCCCAGUAGUCC